UUUCCGUUGAUCCUGCCGGAAGUCACUGCUAUUGGAGUUCGAUUAAGCCAUGCGAGUCAAGAGUUCUUCGUGAACUCGGCGGACUGCUCAGUAACACGUGGGUAAUCUACCCUAGGGUCAGGGAUAAUCCCGGGAAACUGGGAAUAAUACCUGAUAGGUGAAGAUGUCUGGAACGAUACUUCGCCCAAAGCUCCGGUGCCCUAGGAUGAGCCUGCGCCCGAUUAGGUUGUUGGCGGUGUAAAGGACCACCAAGCCCGUUAUCGGUACGGGUGUUGAGAGACAUUGCCCGGAGAUGGGGGCUGAGGCACGGCCCCAGGCCCUACGGGGCGCAGCAGGCGCGAAAACUACGCAAUGCGCGAAAGCGUGACGUGGGAACUCCAAGUGCCUUGCCUUAGGGUAAGGCUUUUGUUUAGUGUAAGUAGCUAAACGAAUAAGUGCUGGGUAAGACCGGUGCCAGCCGCCGCGGUAACACCGGCAGCGCAAGUGGUGACCGCUUUUAUUGGGCCUAAAGCGUUCGUAGCCGGUCUGGUAAGUCUUUGGGUAAAUCCUCCGGCUUAACCGGAGGAAUUCCGGAGAUACUGCCAGACUUGGAGUUGAGAGAGGUCAGAGGUACCCCUGGGGUAGGGGUGAAAUCCUAUAAUCCUGGGGGGACCACCAGUGGCGAAGGCGUCUGACUAGAGCAAGCUCGACGGUGAGGGACGAAAGCCAGGGGCGCGAACGGGAUUAGAUACCCCGGUAGUCCUGGCCGUAAACGCUGCGCGCUAGGUGUUGCAUGCUCUACGAGGGCGUGCAGUGCCGAAGAGAAGUUGAUAAGCGUGCCGCCUGGGAAGUAUUACCGCAAGGUAGAAACUUAAAGGAAUUGGCGGGGGAGCACCACAAGGGGUGGAGUCUGCGGUUCAAUUGGAGUCAACGCCGGGAA
This 919-nucleotide ribosomal RNA is filed under the name uncultured archaeon. RNAcentral describes it as "bacterial SSU rRNA". It matches the Rfam family "Archaeal small subunit ribosomal RNA", at positions 1 to 924 of the family's 1478-position model. The record is from RNAcentral.